CCUACGGGAGGCAGCAGUGGGGAAUAUUGCACAAUGGGGGAAACCCUGAUGCAGCGACGCCGCGUGAGUGACGAAGUAUUUCGGUACGUAAAGCUCUAUCAGCAGGGAAGAAAAUGACGGUACCUGACUAAUAAGCCCCGGCUAACUACGUGCCAGCAGCCGCGGUAAUACGUAGGGGGCAAGCGUUAUCCGGAUUUACUGGGUGUAAAGGGAGCGUAGACGGCAGCGCAAGUCUGGAGUGAAAUCCCAUGGCUUAACCAUGGAACUGCUUUGGAAACUGUGCAGCUAGAGUGCAGGAGAGGUAAGCGGAAUUCCUAGUGGAGCGGUGAAAUGCGUAGAUAUUAGGAGGAACACCAGUGGCGAAGGCGGCUUACUGGACUGUAACUGACGUUGAGGCUCGAAAGCGUGGGGAGCAAACAGGAUUAGAUACCCUUGUAGUC
This 440-nucleotide ribosomal RNA is filed under the name uncultured bacterium. RNAcentral's name for it is "partial 16S ribosomal RNA". It matches the Rfam family "Bacterial small subunit ribosomal RNA", at positions 338 to 795 of the family's 1533-position model. The record is from RNAcentral.